GAGUUUGAUCCUGGCUCAGGAUAAACGCUGGCGGCGUGCCUAAUGCAUGCAAGUCGAACGGUCUUUUUCUCGCAAGAGACAGAGGUAGUGGCAAACGGGUGAGUAACACGUGGGGAUCUGCCCAGUAGUGGGGAACAACUCCGAGAAAUCGGAGCUAAUACCGCAUACGGUCCCUGUAGAGAUACAGGAGACUAAAGCCUUCGCAAGAGGGUGCUAUUGGAGGAACCUGCGGCUGAUUAGCUAGUUGGUGGGGUAAAGGCCUACCAAGGCGAUGAUCAGUAGCUGGUCUGAGAGGAUGGACAGCCACACUGGGACUGAGAUACGGCCCAGACUCCUACGGGAGGCAGCAGCAAGGAAUUUUCGUCAAUGGGGGAAACCCUGAACGAGCAACGCCGCGUGGGCGAAGAAGUCUUUCGGGAUGUAAAGCCCUUUUCCCUGUGAAGAAGGAAAGACGGUAACAGGGGAAUAAGCAUCGGCUAACUACGUGCCAGCAGCCGCGGUAAUACGUAGGAUGCAAGCGUUGUCCGGAAUUAUUGGGCGUAAAGAGCGCGCAGGCGGUUUUUCAAGUCAGAUGUGAAAUAUCCGGGCUUAACCCGGAGGGGUCAUUUGAAACUGAGAAACUAGAGUACAGCAGAGGAUAGCGGAAUUCCCGGUGUAGUGGUGAAAUGCGUAGAUAUCGGGAGGAACACCAGUGGCGAAGGCGGCUAUCUGGGCUGAAACUGACGCUGANGCGCGAAGGCUAGGGGAGCAAACAGGAUUAGAUACCCUGGUAGUCCUAGCAGUAAACGAUGGAUACUAGGUGUUGGGGGAAAUUGACCCCCUCAGUGCCGCANUUAACACAAUAAGUAUCCCGCCUGGGGAGUACGGUCGCAAGAUUAAACUCAAGGAAUUGACGGGGNCCCNCCAACCACNGAACNUGUGGUUUAUUCACNCACNCGAAAACUNACCGGNUUGACAUGCUNUNUNCCUCUCGAAACGGANGCCNCAGGCNANAACCAAANCUNCAUGGCUUCUCACUCNGUCNGAAUNUUGGUUAAUCCCCACA
RNAcentral lists this ribosomal RNA (1045 nucleotides) under uncultured bacterium. Its description in RNAcentral is "partial 16S ribosomal RNA". It matches the Rfam family "Bacterial small subunit ribosomal RNA", at positions 9 to 1091 of the family's 1533-position model. The record is from RNAcentral.